RNAcentral lists this long non-coding RNA (942 nucleotides) under Rattus norvegicus (Norway rat). RNAcentral's name for it is "long non-coding RNA NONRATT000878". The record is from RNAcentral. Lineage: Eukaryota; Metazoa; Chordata; Mammalia; Rodentia; Muridae.
CUUUGCCCUCAGUCAUGGUGAGGCAAGGGUGCUGGAGUUUCCUCACCCCAGCAGGCUUUGCUGUCAUUAGGAAGGAGGGAAGAAAGUCUCCUGUGCUAUGAGACAUAGCAUACUAUAUGCCUAUAGUAUGUAACAGUGACUACAAAGCCUUUAGGAACAAAGGGUGUCUUCUUAACCUUCCAAAUAAAUCUAGAGUCUUACUUUUCAUCACACAGAGAAAGGAGAGAUCUCUAUCGGCUGACAUUGUCUUCAGAGACAUGGUGCCCUCACAGUCCAGCCAGCUGUUCCCUUUUAGUAGAUUUUAAUAAUUCCCCUACUCUUCCUCUCUUUGUUCUUCUCACUGGCUGGGGCAGCUUGGAUUUGGUCAAAGGGCUCAUUAGGACACAGUUUCAUUUUGAUGGGGCUUGUUCAGAAUUUACCACAAUCUGUAUAGAUCUGUCUGGCUUUCUUGCUGCCUUCCUGUUCCCUGGGAUUUGGAUGUUGAUGUCUUACUGUGGUUUCUCUCUGGCUUUGUCUUCAAAUUAAGCUUACUUACUUGCUGUACCAUUAUUUUGGAUGUGAUCCACCUUGGGUUUUUUGUUUUGUUUUGUUUGGUUUGGUUUGGUUUGGUUUUUUUGAGACAGGCUUUCUCAUUGACCUUAGACUUACCAAAUAGGCUAGAUUGGAUGUCCAGCAAGUUCCAGGGACCUACAUCUUUCUGUUUCUCCACGUCUGGAAUUACAUGUUGAACGCCACCACAUCUGGUUUUCUUUUCUUUUUUGUUUGCUUGUUUGUUUUGUUGGUUGUUUGGUUAGUUGUUUUGUUUUGUUUUUUUUUCUUGUCUCUGGGGAUUAAGUUUGGGUCACCAUGCUUGCCUAGCAAGCAUUUUACUGACAGCUGUCUCCCUUUUACUGUUAGAUCAAAUGUACCUUCUAUUAAAUCUAAUAGAUUGCUAUAAAUAGU